GUAGUCCACACUGUAAACGAUGGAUGUUAGCCGUUGGGGGGUUACCUCUCAGUGGCGUAGCUAACGCGUUAAACAUCCCGCCUGGGGAGUACGGUCGCAAGAUUAAAACUCAAAGAAAUUGACGGGGACCCGCACAAGCGGUGGAACAUGUGGUUUAAUUCGAGGCAACGCGAAGAACCUUACCAGGACUCGACUUGCCCUCUAUGGAUCGCUGAAAGGCAAUCCUUCACUUCGGGUGGGAGGAGCACAGGUGCUGCAUGGCUGUCGUCAGCUCGUGUCGUGAGAUGUUGGGUUAAGUCCCGCAACGAGCGCAACCCUCAUUCUCUGUUGCUAACAGGUUAAGCUGAGCACUCUGAGAAAACUGCCGGUGAUAAGCCGGA
Molecule: ribosomal RNA, 380 nt
Filed under: uncultured bacterium
Lineage: Bacteria
Description: bacterial SSU rRNA
Rfam family: Bacterial small subunit ribosomal RNA
Source: RNAcentral